AGUUUGAUCCUGGCUCAGGACGAACGCUGGCGGCGUGCCUAAUACAUGCAAGUCGAGCGGACAGAUGGGAGCUUGCUCCCUGAUGUUAGCGGCGGACGGGUGAGUAACACGUGGGUAACCUGCCUGUAAGACUGGGAUAACUCCGGGAAACCGGGGCUAAUACCGGAUGCUUGUUUGAACCGCAUGGUUCARACAUAAAAGGUGGCUUCGGCUACCACUUACAGAUGGACCCGCGGCGCAUUAGCUAGUUGGUGAGGUAACGGCUCACCAAGGCGACGAUGCGUAGCCGACCUGAGAGGGUGAUCGGCCACACUGGGACUGAGACACGGCCCAGACUCCUACGGGAGGCAGCAGUAGGGAAUCUUCCGCAAUGGACGAAAGUCUGACGGAGCAACGCCGCGUGAGUGAUGAAGGUUUUCGGAUCGUAAAGCUCUGUUGUUAGGGAAGAACAAGUGCCGUUCAAAUAGGGCGGCACCUUGACGGUACCUAACCAGAAAGCCACGGCUAACUACGUGCCAGCAGCCGCGGUAAUACGUAGGUGGCAAGCGUUGUCCGGAAUUAUUGGGCGUAAAGGGCUCGCAGGCGGUUUCUUAAGUCUGAUGUGAAAGCCCCCGGCUCAACCGGGGAGGGUCAUUGGAAACUGGGGAACUUGAGUGCAGAAGAGGAGAGUGGAAUUCCACGUGUAGCGGUGAAAUGCGUAGAGAUGUGGAGGAACACCAGUGGCGAAGGCGACUCUCUGGUCUGUAACUGACGCUGAGGAGCGAAAGCGUGGGGAGCGAACAGGAUUAGAUACCCUGGUAGUCC
This 804-nucleotide ribosomal RNA is filed under the name Bacillus amyloliquefaciens. RNAcentral's name for it is "bacterial SSU rRNA". It matches the Rfam family "Bacterial small subunit ribosomal RNA", at positions 10 to 796 of the family's 1533-position model. The record is from RNAcentral. Lineage: Bacteria; Bacillati; Bacillota; Bacilli; Caryophanales; Bacillaceae.